UGCAGCAGGCGCGAAAACUUUACAAUGCUGGCAACAGCGAUAAGGGAACCUCGAGUGCCAGGUUACAAAUCUGGCUGUCGAGAUGCCUAAAAAGCAUUUCAUACCAAGGGCCGGGCAAGACCG
RNAcentral lists this ribosomal RNA (123 nucleotides) under uncultured archaeon. RNAcentral describes it as "partial 16S ribosomal RNA". It matches the Rfam family "Archaeal small subunit ribosomal RNA", at positions 331 to 454 of the family's 1478-position model. The record is from RNAcentral.